AUUUUUAUUACGGGUUUCCACAUCUUUAAAUCGGAAUUAUAGAAAAAAUGGAAUGUUGUUAGCAGAAUCAAAACAGAAAUGAUGAACACUGCAACAUUUUCAGCAAAACAUAAAUAGGAUGGAGGAUCUGUGUAUUCACAUUAUUUGUAAAACUCUCCUUAUUCCUGUGAAGCGUGUGCUUUACAUCGAGGCUUGUGCUUUACAUCGAGGCUUUCUAUGCUUAUCAUCGACGCCACAGUACUUCAACCAAUCAGACAACGUUUAUUUGGGGC
RNAcentral lists this long non-coding RNA (272 nucleotides) under Mytilus galloprovincialis (Mediterranean mussel). The record is from RNAcentral. Lineage: Eukaryota; Metazoa; Mollusca; Bivalvia; Mytilida; Mytilidae.